This is a long non-coding RNA of Amphiprion ocellaris (clown anemonefish), 2831 nucleotides long. RefSeq lists it as uncharacterized. The transcript has 3 exons. The record is from RefSeq and is a predicted model, not a curated record. Lineage: Eukaryota; Metazoa; Chordata; Actinopteri; Pomacentridae.
CUUCCGGUUCCUUCUGAUCUCAGCCAGAGAAGCGAGGGCAGCUACAUGGUAAGAGGAAGAGAAAACCAGGAGAAAACCUCGGAGUUUACCUGUGAAAAGGAAAAAAAACAGUUGGAGCACUUACCCACUGGAGGUCCGGAGCCAAGUGACUGAACGAAGGAGAGAGUUACGUCUGUAAGACGAGUCAAUUAUCCGGCGGAGAAAAAAAACCUUGUUGACGCUUACCGUCGUCGUCUAUGCUAAUGCUAGCUCUGUGCCUAACAGGCUAACCACUUGCCUUUCACCCAGAGAGCCGCGGCAAGGUCCGACAUCGGCGUGCUCCGCCUUGAUACAGAGAGCAACGGUCAGGUUUUUUUUGGAGGACUGAAGAGUCUGAGGUUCAGGACAAACUUCCUGCUGUAACAGAUGGCGAGCCAACCACCCUGAAGAAAGAUCAGCACUGAGAAGAUAUCCACGUACCCACUCAUUCACACACAUUAUACAUUUACAUUUCACUACAAAGACCUUUGGAAUCAGGUGAACUUGCAAUAAUCCUACAACAGGAAAACCUGCAACAACUCCUAUUUUACUUAAGGGCCCCAACGGACAUUUUUUGUUUCAAGUGUGCACACUGGGUUUUUUCUUAUUGUCUUACUGUUUGUAUUAUUAUUUUGUAUUCUGUACAAAUCAGACAAAUUGUUUUAUCUACUGUUAAAAAUUAUACGAGUGGCUACUCAACUGUUACCCCUGCGAUUGCCUCAUUAUUGUUGCUCAGUACAGUCGCUCCUCCCGAAUUUAGUGUCUUCUGAUUCUGGUCCAGGUAUUAUAAAUAGUCCAAGUAAUUAUUACACUGUAAUUCACUUUUACCUCCCUAAAGUUGGAAACUUGGAAUGACUUUUCAUAGGUAAGAAUAGUUUUUGGCUCUUUUUUCAUUAUGAAAUCUUGUUGAGAGCUUCCAGUCUCUGAGAGCUAACUAGUUAGCCACUAGCAAAACGCUAAGGCGAGCUAGCAGCUUGACAACCAAAUACCAGACGAUUAAUAGUAGCUGUAGUAUAGUUGUACAAGCAGUAGUAGUAAUACUAAAAGUACAAGCAGCAGUAGUAGUAUAAACAGUUGUUAGAGUCGUAGAAGUAGUAUCAGCAUUUGUAAUAGUAUUACAUUAUAAAGCCUAACUCAUGCAUAUCCAGAUUACCAUCUAUGUUCUUCCUACAAACCCAUUUUAUGAUUGGGAUUACAGGCAGUUCUUCAGGACUGCUCUCAAAUAAUUGAAAUGUUACUAAACAAGGUUAUACUUAUCAAAUUAAAUAGCUCUGGUCUCCAGUAUAUUGGCAAAUUCGGUUCUUUGUACUUAAUUUAUUAGCAUGAUUUCUUUUUAAUAUGUUGUGUACAGACUUAAUUACUUCUCUGUCUACUUUUCUUACUCCAUGUAGGUUUCCCAGAGACUAUGGGUUGAGGAGGAAGUGGAAGUUUGUCGGCUUAGACCUGGUGUCAUUCCAUCAGUGUUAAACUUCCCGGCUCAUCUUGGAAGAGUACGUGCCAGAAAGACCACGACCAAGCAGCCUUGAGAUCUUAGGCAGCGUCUCCUUGAGACCAAAGAACUACAGACUCUUCACAACCUGCUCAAACUCUUGGUACAGGACCUCACCACACGGGUCAAGAAGGUUUCUGUCUCAUUUCUACUCUGAAGCUCACCUUCUCCUGCUCAAACUGCUGACAAAUGUUUCUGCUGCUCUGAAGUCUGGUCUCCAGAACUUCCUAAAAACUCUCAAAGUCUCUUCUGCUGCAGGUUGCUUUGUAGAACUGUUCCAGAAAACCUCACUAAACCACAUGGAGGAGCCUCAAGAUAGUCGUCCAAAUGAAACCAUACAAAAACCAAACUAGCACAACCCAAAAGCUAAAGUCUCCUGCAGCCUACCAGAGAACCUCUGAGAACAGAGAAUCAGGACAGGAACUCUUACCUUCUGGACAACCAACGUUGGUUCUCAAACAAGAAUACAGAAUGUGUCUGACCAGAAACCUCUAAAGACUCACUACAGCCAAGAUAAAGACACAACUCAGCUGUACCAAAUCCACUAAUCACUGCACACAUUAACACCAUGUGCUAACUGUGGCUAAAGAACCUCAUUUACCAAGACAACUAUCCAGUACAAAGCCCUAAAACACACCAAGAAACACAUUAAAGUCUAUUUUACUGCUGGAAGCUGCAAGCCAACGCCUAAAGAACAGACUAAAGCAAUAGAGCCAAACCCAGUUCACUGGUGAAGAGAAGCAGAGGAAAUGUUUGUCUGCAGCUAAAUAAAGCAGGAAGACACUGAGCUGCUCAGGUGUUCCUGAUAACACCAAGCUGCUCAGGUGUUCCUGAUAACACCUAGCAGCCACCUGGACAGCCAAUAGGAACACAGCUUCCUGGAAGUCCAGAGGGCUGGCUUAGUGAAGGAAAUUUAAUUUAAAGUUGAAGCAGAAAGUUAACAAAGAAAGUUGAAAACCACCUUCUGAUCCCUGAAAUCUCUGAGUUUUCACACAAAGAACACCUGAACAUGUCAAACUGGUUCCAUAGUAGAACCAUCAUUGUAAAAACGUCAUAGUAUGGUGUGUUGCUCAAAAAACAUUAGGACCUGGCUGUCAGGGGACAAACAUGUAAGAAACAUGAGAACAGAGAGAACCCAACCAGUAGGUCACAGUUUAUCAUCCCCCAGUCAUCUCCUGAAGUCCAUAUGGUGAGAGACAUCAGUAUCUGGUUGUUCAUUUACCAGAGGAUGCUUAUAAUCAUGCUGAUGUGGUCUGUACUCUACAGUAUUUUAGUGACUCAAUAAAUGCCUAAGUUGUUUUUUUUUUUUAAAUGCUUUUUAGUU